This 68-nucleotide non-coding RNA is filed under the name Chloroflexota bacterium. The record is from RNAcentral. Lineage: Bacteria; Bacillati; Chloroflexota.
AGCCGAAACGCCCCACCUGGGGCGUCGUCCCGGGGCUGCCCGUCCGGGGCCUGAUGAGGCAGGGCGUU